This is a long non-coding RNA of Lingula anatina, 404 nucleotides long. NCBI's taxonomy places the organism in Eukaryota, Metazoa, Brachiopoda, Lingulata, Lingulida, Lingulidae. The record is from RefSeq and is a predicted model, not a curated record.
UUUCCGUCGUCAUUAUAGAGGCUGAGAUUGCCGUCUCUCCUCACUGCCACAUGGUCUUCAUACUGAGAAGCACUCAGUCUGUGGCAGUUGGGUCUAACGGUCGUCGGAUUUAACGUCUAUCAGCAACGGAAUUGUAGGCACACCGACUUAUUGGUAAAAAAAUUAUCAACAUUCAUCUUCUUUCCAUGGUGUUGAGUUUUGUGGAAGACGUUGUGUCACAGGGAUAUUUGCAUGACAAAAUAUUACUCAACGGAGAUGUUGUAUCACGGGGAUGUUUAUAACUGCAAGGUGGAAGACUGCGAGCUGUCUUCAAGAAUACUCACCUGGACACAUUUGGGUGAAGACAGAACAGCAUGAGUGGUACAGUCAAAGGGUCUAGCUUUUAUAAGGCGUAGAAGCAAAUA